AGGCCUUUAAUGACGCUAAAGCUCGAAGGUGCGGGUAUAGAACACGAUUAGAUAUCCUGGUAGUCUGCACGGUAAACGAUGGAUGCCCGCUGUUUGCGAUAUACUGUGAGCGGCCAAGAGAAAUCGUUAAGCAUCCCACUUGGGGAGUACGCCGGCAACGGUGAAACUCAAAGGAAUUGACGGGGGCCCGCACAAGCGGAGGAACAUGUGGUUUAAUUCGAUGAUACGCGAGGAACCUUACCCGGGCUUGAACUGCAGGCGAACGAUACAGAGAUGUUGAGGCCCUUCGGGGCGCCUGUGGAGGUGCUGCAUGGUUGUCGUCAGCUCGUGCCGUGAGGUGUCGGCUUAAGUGCCAUAACGAGCGCAACCCUUUUCAUUAGUUGCCAUCAGGUAAUGCUGGGCACUCUGGUGAUACUGCCACCGUAAGGUGUGAGGAAGGUGGGGAUGACGUCAAAUCAGCACGGCCCUUACGUCCGGGGCUACACACGUGUUACAAUGGGUGGUACAGAGAGUCGGAUCAACGCAAGUUGGUUCUAAUCCUUAAAGCCAUCCUCAGUUCGGAGGGGGGUCUGCAACCCGACCCCAUGAAGCUGGAUUCGCU
This 601-nucleotide ribosomal RNA is filed under the name uncultured bacterium. Its description in RNAcentral is "bacterial SSU rRNA". It matches the Rfam family "Bacterial small subunit ribosomal RNA", at positions 731 to 1336 of the family's 1533-position model. The record is from RNAcentral.